UAAAAACGUGUUGUGUUCCGAACGCUUUAAAAAAAUGUAAAGGUGUCCGUUCGGCUUGAUCACAUACAGAUUAACUGCAAAAUGACCACAAAGAAAGGAAAGCAUCACGGAACAGGAAUUCCCUAUUCAUUCAGAGAAAAUCGUGCAGAGUUCCAGGGAACGGGAAUUCCACAUUUGGCACAGGCAAAUCAUCUUCCCAAGGGGCAUUUUGCCAAUGGUCCUCGCGAAGUUCCGGCCUUUCAUGGAGGCGUUUCUAACCUCUCAAGGCGAGUCUUUCAGGAUGCCCGGUUGCCUUCGUACUCUCUGGGCAGGAGCAAAAAUAAUUAUUUUGGCG
Molecule: long non-coding RNA, 334 nt
Organism: Amblyraja radiata (thorny skate)
Lineage: Eukaryota; Metazoa; Chordata; Chondrichthyes; Rajiformes; Rajidae
Exons: 3
Source: RefSeq, a predicted model, not a curated record